AACGGCGAAGUGAAGCGGCAAAAGCUCAAAUUUGAAAUCUGGCUCCUUUGGGGCCGGAGUUGUAAUUUGCAGAGGAUGCUUCGGGCGUGGCCGCGGUCUAAGUCCCSUGGAACGGGGCGUCGCAGAGGGUGAGAAUCCCGUCUUCGGCCGGCCGGCUUCGCCCAUGUGAAGCUCCUUCGACGAGUCGAGUUGUUUGGGAAUGCAGCUCUAAAUGGGUGGUAAAUUUCAUCUAAAGCUAAAUAUUGGUCGGAGACCGAUAGCGCACAAGUAGAGUGAUCGAAAGAUGAAAAGCACUUUGAAAAGAGAGUUAAACAGCAUGUGAAAUUGUUGAAAGGGAAGCGCUUGCGACCAGAGUCGGCCGUGGGGGUUCAGCGGGCAUUCGUUGCCCGUGCACUCCCCCACGGGCGGGCCAGCGUCGGUUUCGACGGCCGGUCAAAGGCCCCCGGAAUGUGUCGCCUCUCGGGGCGUCUUAUAGCCGGGGGUGCAAUGCGGCCAGUCGGGACCGAGGAACGCGCUUCGGCACGGACGCUGGCUUAAUGGUCGUAAGCGACCCGUCUUGAAACACGGACCAAGGAGUCUAACAUCCACGCGAGUGUUCGGGUGUCAAACCCGUCCGCGCAGUGAAAGCGAACGGAGGUGGGAACCCUUAAGGGUGCACCAUCGACCGAUCCUGAAGUCUUCGGAUGGAUUUGAGUAAGAGCGUGGCUGUUGGGACCCGAAAGAUGGUGAACUAUGCCUGAAUAGGGUGAAGCCAGAGGAAACUCUGGUGGAGGCUCGCAGCGGUUUCUGACGUGCAAAUCGAUUCGUCGAAUUU
RNAcentral lists this ribosomal RNA (814 nucleotides) under Blastomyces dermatitidis. RNAcentral's name for it is "eukaryotic LSU rRNA". It matches the Rfam family "Eukaryotic large subunit ribosomal RNA", at positions 85 to 912 of the family's 3401-position model. The record is from RNAcentral. Lineage: Eukaryota; Fungi; Ascomycota; Eurotiomycetes; Onygenales; Ajellomycetaceae.